RNAcentral lists this unclassified non-coding RNA (339 nucleotides) under soil metagenome. RNAcentral describes it as "partial contains 5.8S ribosomal RNA, internal transcribed spacer 2, and large subunit ribosomal RNA". The stretch from base 1 to 120 matches the Rfam family "5.8S ribosomal RNA", at positions 35 to 154 of the family's 154-position model. The record is from RNAcentral.
GAUGAAGAACGUAGCGAAAUGCGAUAAGUAAUGUGAAUUGCAGAAUUCAGUGAAUCAUCGAAUCUUUGAACGCACAUUGCGCCCGCCAGCACUCUGGCGGGCAUGCCUGUUCGAGCGUCAUUUCAACCAUCAAGCCCCCAGGGGCUUGUGCUGGGGCCCUGCGGCUGCCCGCAGGCCCUGAAAACCAGUGGCGGGCUCGCUAGUCACACCGAGCGCAGUAGCACAUCUCGCUCAGGGCGUGCGGCGGGCUCCUGCCGUGAAACCCCCCACUGUAACCCCAAAGGUUGACCUCGGAUCAGGUAGGAAUACCCGCUGAACUUAAGCAUAUCAAUAAGCGGA